CACAUUGGUGAACGUCAGAUAGGGAAAACGCCCGCGUCGAUGAAACAUAUUCGCGAGACGCCAAUAUUUCAGAGGCGAACGUAUGUCCGCCCCUCCACAGUAUGACAGUGACCCAAAUGGAGCGCCAGCGCAGUCAGUUCCGUGAGCGCGCGACAGCUUGGUUGACGUAUGCGCUUGGCUCGACACGCCGCGCUCUCGUGAGAUUCUAUUCGCUAUCGUUAUAGUGUGUUGUGCAUUGGAUAUUGCCGUGUACAAUGCAGUGAGUGAGCACUGGCCGGAGCGCCGGUCAUGUGCCAACGCUAGAUCGUCCUGGUGGUUGACCUUUCAAGAUGAGUUUGGUGGAAAUUACAAAUACCGAAUGAGACAUAAUGCUAUCGCUGUCAUGCUGAAACCGCUGUGACGAUCAUACGAGGAGGUGUUCGCGCCAAGCGGUGAGCCGACAACAGGGGCCGAGUUGUUCCCGCCAAAACGAGCGCAGGCUGUGGCGCGAAGGCUCGUGAUUGGUCGAGAGAAACGGCGCGGUGGCGGUGGCGCGGCGCGGUGCGCAAGGCCGCCGGUUUUCCCGCGAACAAUGCCAAAUGGUGCAUUUGUCAAGGUGAGUUCGUUCACCGCCGACGCCGGCGCCGCGCGCUCCUCAGACAAUCGCUCACUCGCUUCGCGCCAAACGAAGGUCGACGGAAGGCAGCGCGGCACUCGCGCGCCGUUUCACCGCUCUGAAGACACGAUCAUUAACAUAUUAUAACUUUAUUACAGGAUUUCAUCUAUCAUGGACAAACUAUCAAUUGGACUUCAAUCGUUGACUACAAAUACGGAAACCGGUUAAGGAAGCUCUGAUUUUUAUUAAAAUAUAAAAUCAUAUAUCCAA
Molecule: long non-coding RNA, 865 nt
Organism: Nymphalis io (European peacock)
Lineage: Eukaryota; Metazoa; Arthropoda; Insecta; Lepidoptera; Nymphalidae
Exons: 4
Source: RefSeq, a predicted model, not a curated record